UACGUAGGUGGCAAGUGUUAUCCGGAUUUAUUGGGCGUAAAGGGAACGCAGGCGGUCUUUUAAGUCUGAUGUGAAAGCCUUCGGCUUAACCGGAGUAGUGCAUUGGAAACUGGGAGACUUGAGUGCAGAAGAGGAGAGUGGAACUCCAUGUGUAGCGGUGAAAUGCGUAGAUAUAUGGAAGAACACCAGUGGCGAAAGCGGCUCUCUGGUCUGUAACUGACGCUGAGGUUCGAAAGCGUGGGUAGCAAACAGG
This 253-nucleotide ribosomal RNA is filed under the name uncultured bacterium. Its description in RNAcentral is "partial 16S ribosomal RNA". It matches the Rfam family "Bacterial small subunit ribosomal RNA", at positions 524 to 776 of the family's 1533-position model. The record is from RNAcentral.